This 425-nucleotide unclassified non-coding RNA is filed under the name soil metagenome. RNAcentral's name for it is "partial contains 5.8S ribosomal RNA, internal transcribed spacer 2, and large subunit ribosomal RNA". The stretch from base 1 to 120 matches the Rfam family "5.8S ribosomal RNA", at positions 35 to 154 of the family's 154-position model. The record is from RNAcentral.
GAUGAAGAACGUAGCGAAAUGCGAUAAGUAGUGUGAAUUGCAGAAUUCCGUGAAUCAUCGAAUCUUUGAACGCACAUUGCGCCUUCUGGUAUUCCGGAAGGCAUGCCUGUUCGAGAGUCAUUAACAACCGUUUCGAUCCCUUUCUUUCAGAAAUUACAAAGAGGAAAAGGGUUUGGUUAUGGUGGAGGAGGGAAAGGGAGCGUUUAGCCUGUAAAAAAAGAGGCUGUGUUCCGCCUCCCCCCCAAAAUUGUACAGGCGGUCGUGUGCGCCCACGCAUCGAGGUGUUGUAUAAGCUGCCACGGCACUUUUCACCUGUGCAGUGCGAGAUUGGCCAGCCGGUUUAAAAACCCCUCCAAACAAUCAAAGGUUGACCUCGGAUCAGGUAGGGAUACCCGCUGAACUUAAGCAUAUCAAUAAGCGGAGGA